This 92-nucleotide non-coding RNA is filed under the name uncultured Clostridium sp. RNAcentral describes it as "Purine riboswitch". It matches the Rfam family "Purine riboswitch aptamer". Rfam says of the family: Riboswitches are metabolite binding domains within certain messenger RNAs that serve as precision sensors for their corresponding targets. Lineage: Bacteria; Bacillati; Bacillota; Clostridia; Eubacteriales; Clostridiaceae. The record is from RNAcentral.
AUUUGUAAAAAAUCUCGUAUAAAAUCGGUAAUUGGUCCGAAAGUUUCUACCUACUGACCGUAAAACAGUAGACUACGAGGAGUUGAAAUUAU